GGGACACGGCGGCGGCGGGCAGCAGGAGGGGGGCGAUGGCGGCGGGGCGGGCGGCGCCGCGGCUGCUGCUGAUGCAGAGAGCCGGGCAGCAGCGGCGCAUGGGGCAGCAGCGGCGCCGCCGCCGGCCGGGCCAGGAGACCCCGGCAUCCCGAGGACCCCGUGAUUUGUGCCCAUAAUUCCUCGGAAAAAUCAGCCCGGAGGGACCGGCCUCUUCUGAUGCACGAGGCCUGCGUCCCCGCGAGCACAGCGUUCCCACCUGCUAACGAACGAACGAACGAACGUAACGGGGAGCUUCGUGCGGGGAAAGGCAGCUCCACGCAGGCCUAAUCCCUCACCUGCCCAUGUGCUGCUGCCACCUCACCGUGGCCAUGGAGAUCCCGCGAGCCGUCACCGCGCUCCCGUCCUCUGCCCUGCGAGAUAACUCAGCAAAAAAGCGUGCCGGCCCGCAGAUAACAGCAGAUAUUUAUCUCCUCGCCAGCCGGUGCAAGGUAUGAAACGGCACGGAGGACAGGAGGAAUCUGAAAGGCGGAAAAUUAAUUAAGAGGCUCUGCCGUUGCCUUGCUGUGAUCUUAGUAACUGAACCAUUAAAGCAAAGGUGAUUUCUUCUUCGUGGGGUAGUUACAUUCCCCUUCCUCUGUUACCGCUCCCUGCGCUAUGUUUGGGUCUUAGAGGUGCGUGCAUGUGCGUUUGCGAGCAAAUGCGUGGUCCUUGGUUCAACACGUUCAGUAACUAUUGAGCGAGGAGACGCAUUGUCCUCCCUUUCUGUUUUCUGUGGUUUUGCAUUAUCAUUUCUUUAAUAAACCAUGACAUGCUAUUUAUAUUGAUUCAAGGCCUGGAGACGCUUGUGUAGCUCGGGACUCACGGAUCAAUCCAGCCAGCCAUUGCCAUGGCGUAUCCCAGUGAUAUUAUUACACCGUUGUUUUUGAUCAAGACCUGCCAGUCUGGUUUUGUAUCAUGUUCUCAAAUACAUAUUCCUGCUGCGUUACAUGUCGUAAUGUUAAACAAAUAUACACAGGUUUUAGUAGAGACAAAGCAAGGGCUUAGUCUGGCAGAGGAUCCUUAGGAGAGACUUUCCAGCGUUAAUAGAUGCAUGCUCGAGUCCUGUGUUACAACAUGGAAGGAUUUUGGUACCGAAGUGCCACUUGAGAGCCCCAGCAAAGAGCAAUGGUCGUGUUCACCCGUAGCCCUGCAGCAGAGCGUUUGUCCUGAGCUCCCAUUUUGACCCUGGUCAAAAAUGAUGAAACGUUUGGAAAACACUCCUUGUCAUCAAAAAGUCCAGAAGUGCAAUGGGUGGCUUAACCGAAUGAAGGUUAAGGGGUGGGUUGGCUGCAAUUCAUAACUACGUGAGGUACAAAAACCUCAUGUUUUUGCAGAGGAACAGCCUCUCCCUGCAUCUAACAGAGAAGGAAAUAAGUUCUGCUAACUGGUUGAAGAACAGCUCAGGGGGCUGUGCUGUAUUUUAGGAGGGAGGACAGCUACUGGAAUAGGUACAGGUGUGGGGGAAUCUACCCUGCUGGCAGGUUUCUACUGUUUUUUUUUUUUUAAAGCUGUGUUACUCUUAGAAUGACCUAAUCUGGGAAACUCCUGCAACCACAGUUAUGCUGGAGUUCAGCGCUGACCAUCGCAAUGGUCCCUUCUGUAUAGUCUAUGCACGUCGCAAUGAGCAAGAGCCUUACGUUAAAGGAACAUACUGCUUUUUUGUUUGAAAUCUUUCUUAUGUUAAUAAUAACAGAGCAUUAAACUCAGACUGAUGAGCUUGUUUAAA
This is a long non-coding RNA of Dromaius novaehollandiae (emu), 1765 nucleotides long. RefSeq lists it as uncharacterized. The record is from RefSeq and is a predicted model, not a curated record. Lineage: Eukaryota; Metazoa; Chordata; Aves; Casuariiformes; Dromaiidae. The transcript has 2 exons.